This 759-nucleotide ribosomal RNA is filed under the name Pseudogymnoascus sp. Its description in RNAcentral is "partial large subunit ribosomal RNA". It matches the Rfam family "Eukaryotic large subunit ribosomal RNA", at positions 134 to 911 of the family's 3401-position model. The record is from RNAcentral. Lineage: Eukaryota; Fungi; Ascomycota; Leotiomycetes; Thelebolales; Thelebolaceae.
CGGUCCGAGUUGUAAUUUGUAGAGGAUGCUUCGAGCAUGGUCUGGCCUAAGUUCCUUGGAACAGGACGUCAUAGAGGGUGAGAAUCCCGUAUGCGGCCAGGUGCCUACGCUCAUGUGAAGCUCCUUCGACGAGUCGAGUUGUUUGGGAAUGCAGCUCAAAAUGGGUGGUAAAUUUCAUCUAAAGCUAAAUAUUGGCCAGAGACCGAUAGCGCACAAGUAGAGUGAUCGAAAGAUGAAAAGCACUUUGGAAAGAGAGUUAAACAGUACGUGAAAUUGUUGAAAGGGAAGCGCUUGCAACCAGACUUGCGCGCGGCCGAUCAUCCGGUGUUCUCACCGGUGCACUCGGCCGUGCUCAGGCCAGCAUCGGUUUUGGCGGCUGGAUAAAGGCCCUAGGAAUGUGGCUCCUCUCGGGGAGUGUUAUAGCCUAGGGUGCAAUGCAGCCUGCUGGGACCGAGGACCGCGCUUCGGCUAGGAUGCUGGCGUAAUGGUUGUAAGCGGCCCGUCUUGAAACACGGACCAAGGAGUCUAACAUCUAUGCGAGUGUUUGGGUGUCAAACCCAUACGCGUAAUGAAAGUGAACGGAGGUGAGAACCCUUAAGGGUGCAUCAUCGACCGGUCCUGAAGUUUACGGAAGGAUCUGAGUAAGAGCAUAGCUGUUGGGACCCGAAAGAUGGUGAACUAUGCCUGAAUAGGGUGAAGCCAGAGGAAACUCUGGUGGAGGCUCGCAGCGGUUCUGACGUGCAAAUCGAUCGUCAAAUU